AGUCUGAUGACAGAAGAACAGAACUGGGGAGGGAAAUGGUAUUCUGGAACCUUUAAAAAGAACUGUUCCACUAUCACACAUUGCUUCUCACAGGACACAGGUAACUAUAUGGUGUCAUGGAACUUACUGGUCUGUGAAUCACCAGUUCAGCCCUAUCUCUUGUUUCUGACUGGAAUGGCCUGUGCUUCUUCAUCCUGCAGUGAGGGGAACGUGGCCAGAGGUUUCACCUCGGUUCUGGUUGCAGACAGAAGCAAGCUCAGCCUGUGGAGCACAGCUGUGUGACAGGAGGUUGGACCCUGAGGCACCCGAUGCCCUGCCCACAGCCCUGGUUCCCUUCCUGGAAAUGGACCCUUUCUUACUAAUGCAGACUUCAGCUGAUUGCCACAUAAACACUGGGGCAGAGUACUGCUAGAAAGCAUGCUUGAAGAGACCUCAGGAACAUCAGGAAGUAAAACCACACUGGUUUGCUUAGUGGGGAUCAUAGUACUCCUCACAGAUAAUGCCAAGGGCUAUCUCCUGCCUCUGACUCAUGCAUUUUGCAACCCAGUGGAGAUAACAGGGUAGUGCACGAUGGAAUUUGGUCGCUGUGCUCUUUGCCUAUGUAUCUAUUUGCAUAAAAGUUUAAUUCAUCACACCAGUUAUCAUAUAAAUGCUCUGGCAUGUAUUCAUCCAACAGGGCUCACAUCUCCCUGCUUGGCACAGAUGUUAUUUAACAGUGACAUUGAUUUAAUACCAAAGGUUGUUUCAUUGGGUUUUGAUGCCAGGGCUUUGGGGGAGAGCUUCACACAGUUAGACUGACAGGCUGCAAUUUUCUUAUACAUUUGUAUGGCAUCCAGAAGUGGGCAAAAGGAUCCAUUUCUAGCAAUCAAUGACAAAUCAAAUCAGCGUCUGUACUUUCUUUCAUCUUCCACUGCUUCAUCCCUUUUCUUCAGUGUGAGCUUUUUGGGCCAUCAUUCUCCCUACUCAUCACUAGCUAACUUCACUUAACUUGGUGUGGGGCAUCUGCUAGCAAGCUUGGGAAGCUGCUUGCAUAUGUGUGUACUGCUUAGCUGUGUGCUGGGAGAGAGCAUCUCAGACUUCUGUGAUGAUAUGUGGAUCUGCAGUUGCAUGGUUGACUGUCUCACGGAAUUAUCAGUUUUCAUGGCGGCUACAGAUGGAGGGAGGAAGGAGGAGCCACCUCCCACACUAUGCAUAUCUUCACAGGGAAAGGACAAACAACUUCAGCCCAGCUCCACAGGCACUUUCC
RNAcentral lists this long non-coding RNA (1246 nucleotides) under Gallus gallus (chicken). Its description in RNAcentral is "long non-coding RNA NONGGAT005819". The record is from RNAcentral. Lineage: Eukaryota; Metazoa; Chordata; Aves; Galliformes; Phasianidae.